ACGGAAGGCAGCAGUGAGGAAUAUUGGUCAAUGGGCGGAAGCCUGAACCAGCCAAGUCGCGUGAAGGAAGACGGUAUUAUGUAUUGUAAACUUCUUUAGACGCAGAGAAAUAAGCUCCACGCGUGGAGUGAUGCUAGUAUGCGUAGAAUAAGGAUCGGCUAACUCCGUGCCAGCAGCCGCGGUAAUACGGAGGAUCCGAGCGUUAUCCGGAUUUAUUGGGUUUAAAGGGUGCGCAGGCGGUCUUUUAAGUCAGUGGUUAAAUCGUGGAGCUCAACUCCAUCCCGCCAUUGAUACUGGGAGACUUGAUUGCGGUCGAGGUUGGCGGAAUUCGCCGUGUAGCGGUGAAAUGCAUAGAUAUGGCGAAGAACUCCGAUUGCGUAGGCAGCUGACCAGGCCGUAAAUGACGCUCAUGCACGAAAGUGCGGGGAUCGAACAGGAUUAGAUACCCUGGUA
This 453-nucleotide ribosomal RNA is filed under the name uncultured Porphyromonadaceae bacterium. Its description in RNAcentral is "partial 16S ribosomal RNA". It matches the Rfam family "Bacterial small subunit ribosomal RNA", at positions 341 to 792 of the family's 1533-position model. The record is from RNAcentral. Lineage: Bacteria; Pseudomonadati; Bacteroidota; Bacteroidia; Bacteroidales; Porphyromonadaceae.